Molecule: ribosomal RNA, 1468 nt
Filed under: Staphylococcus roterodami
Lineage: Bacteria; Bacillati; Bacillota; Bacilli; Caryophanales; Staphylococcaceae
Description: bacterial SSU rRNA
Rfam family: Bacterial small subunit ribosomal RNA
Source: RNAcentral
AGGAUGAACGCUGGCGGCGUGCCUAAUACAUGCAAGUCGAGCGAACGAGAAGCUUGCUUCUCUGAUGUUAGCGGCGGACGGGUGAGUAACACGUGGAUAACCUACCUAUAAGACUGGGAUAACUUCGGGAAACCGGAGCUAAUACCGGAUAAUAUUUUGAACCGCAUGGUUCAAAAGUGAAAGACGGUCUUGCUGUCACUUAUAGAUGGAUCCGCGCUGCAUUAGCUAGUUGGUAAGGUAACGGCUUACCAAGGCAACGAUGCAUAGAACCGACCUGAGAGGGUGAUCGGCCACACUGGAACUGAGACACGGUCCAGACUCCUACGGGAGGCAGCAGUAGGGAAUCUUCCGCAAUGGGCGAAAGCCUGACGGAGCAACGCCGCGUGAGUGAUGAAGGUCUUCGGAUCGUAAAACUCUGUUAUUAGGGAAGAACAUAUGUGUAAGUAACUGUGCACAUCUUGACGGUACCUAAUCAGAAAGCCACGGCUAACUACGUGCCAGCAGCCGCGGUAAUACGUAGGUGGCAAGCGCCGGAAUUAUUGGGCGUAAAGCGCGCGUAGGCGGUUUUUUAAGUCUGAUGUGAAAGCCCACGGCUCAACCGUGGAGGGUCAUUGGAAACUGGAAAACUUGAGUGCAGAAGAGGAAAGUGGAAUUCCAUGUGUAGCGGUGAAAUGCGCAGAGAUAUGGAGGAACACCAGUGGCGAAGGCGACUUUCUGGUCUGUAACUGACGCUGAUGUGCGAAAGCGUGGGGAUCAAACAGGAUUAGAUACCCUGGUAGUCCACGCCGUAAACGAUGAGUGCUAAGUGUUAGGGGGUUUCCGCCCCUUAGUGCUGCAGCUAACGCAUUAAGCACUCCGCCUGGGGAGUACGACCGCAGGUUGAAACUCAAUAGGAAUUGACGGGGACCCGCACAAGCGGUGGAGCAUGUGGUUUAAUUCGAAGCAACGCGAAGAACCUUACCAAAUCUUGACAUCCUUUGACAACUCUAGAGAUAGAGCCUUCCCCUUCGGGGGACAAAGUGACAGGUGGUGCAUGGUUGUCGUCAGCUCGUGUCGUGAGAUGUUGGGUUAAGUCCCGCAACGAGCGCAACCCUUAAGCUUAGUUGCCAUCAUUAAGUUGGGCACUCUAAGUUGACUGCCGGUGACAAACCGGAGGAAGGUGGGGAUGACGUCAAAUCAUCAUGCCCCUUAUGAUUUGGACACACGUGCUACAAUGGACAAUACAAAGGGCCAGCGAAACCGCGAGGUCAAGCAAAUCCCAUAAAGUUGUUCUCAGUUCGGAUUGUAGUCUGCAACUCGACUACAUGAAGCUGGAAUCGCUAGUAAUCGUAGAUCAGCAUGCUACGGUGAAUACGUUCCCGGGUCUUGUACACACCGCCCGUCACACCACGAGAGUUUGUAACACCCGAAGCCGGUGGAGUAACCUUUUAGGAGCUAGCCGUCGAAGGUGGGACAAAUGAUUGGGGUG